CAGUAGCCGCGGUAAUACGAAGGGUGCAAGCGUUAAUCGGAAUUACUGGGCGUAAAGCGCGCGUAGGUGGUUCAUUAAGUCAGGGGUGAAAUCCCGCAGCUCAACUGCGGAACUGCCUUUGAUACUGGGUAUCUUGAGUAUGGAAGAGGUUAGUGGAAUUGCGAGUGUAGAGGUGAAAUUCGUAGAUAUUCGCAGGAACACCAGUGGCGAAGGCGGCUAACUGGUCCAUAACUGACGCUGAGGUGCGAAAGCGUGGGGAGCAAACAGGAUUAGAUACCCCAGUAGUCCCUGUCUCUUAUAC
Molecule: ribosomal RNA, 301 nt
Filed under: uncultured bacterium
Lineage: Bacteria
Description: partial 16S ribosomal RNA
Rfam family: Bacterial small subunit ribosomal RNA
Source: RNAcentral